Molecule: ribosomal RNA, 520 nt
Filed under: uncultured Glomus
Lineage: Eukaryota; Fungi; Glomeromycota; Glomeromycetes; Glomerales; Glomeraceae
Description: SSU rRNA
Rfam family: Eukaryotic small subunit ribosomal RNA
Source: RNAcentral
AGCAGCCGCGGUAAUUCCAGCUCCAAUAGCGUAUAUUAAAGUUGUUGCAGUUAAAAGCUCGUAGUUGAAUUUCGGGGUUAGUAAGUUGGUCGUGCCACUGGUAUGUACUGGCUUUACUGAUUCCUCCUUCUUGUAGAACCGUAAUGCCAUUAAUUUGGUGUUGCAGGGAAACUGGACUGUUACUUUGAAAAAAUUAGAGUGUUUAAAGCAAGCUAACGCUUGAAUACAUUAGCAUGGAAUAAUGAAAUAGGACGUUCGAUCCUAUUUUGUUGGUUUCUAGGAUUGACGUAAUGAUUAAUAGGGAUAGUUGGGGGCAUUAGUAUUCAAUUGUCAGAGGUGAAAUUCUUGGAUUUAUUGAAGACUAACUACUGCGAAAGCAUUUUGCCAAGGAUGUUUUCAUUAAUCAAGAACGAAAGUUAGGGGAUCGAAGACGAUCAGAUACCGUCGUAGUCUUAACCAUAAACUAUGCCGACUAGGGAUCGGAUGAUGUUAAUUUUUUAAUGACUCAUUCGGCGCCUUA